Molecule: ribosomal RNA, 468 nt
Filed under: uncultured bacterium
Lineage: Bacteria
Description: partial 16S ribosomal RNA
Rfam family: Bacterial small subunit ribosomal RNA
Source: RNAcentral
GACGAACGCUGGCGGCGUGCUUAACACAUGCAAGUCGAACGGAAAGGCCCUGCUUUUGUGGGGUGCUCGAGUGGCGAACGGGUGAGUAACACGUGAGUAACCUGCCCUUGACUUUGGGAUAACUUCAGGAAACUGGGGCUAAUACCGGAUAUGAGCUCCUGCUGCAUGGUGGGGGUUGGAAAGUUUCGGCGGUUGGGGAUGGACUCGCGGCUUAUCAGCUUGUUGGUGGGGUAGUGGCUUACCAAGGCUUUGACGGGUAGCCGGCCUGAGAGGGUGACCGGCCACAUUGGGACUGAGAUGCGGCCCAGCCUCCUACGGGAGGCAGCAGUGGGGAAUAUUGCACAAUGGGCGGAAGCCUGAUGCAGCAACGCCGCGUGCGGGAUGACGGCCUUCGGGUUGUAAACCGCUUUCGCCUGUGACGAAGCGUGAGUGACGGUAAUGGGUAAAGAAGCACCGGCUAACUACGUG